Ornithodoros turicata is the source of this 3043-nucleotide RNA transcript. RefSeq lists it as uncharacterized. Lineage: Eukaryota; Metazoa; Arthropoda; Arachnida; Ixodida; Argasidae. The transcript is spliced from 2 exons. The record is from RefSeq and is a predicted model, not a curated record.
AAACUACUAUUUUAAGUAGUUAACUACAGUAGUUAGGUUACUGAAGGCGCCAACUACUUCCGAUUUUGCCGCAAGCUUUACGGCACGAUUGUGCUUCCGACUUUUACCUCGAGCUACUUGUUUGAUGAGAACGGAGGUGCAGAGCAAUUGUGUCGUGCAUGUAUACUAAAUCUUCACUUGUAAUGCUUGUCUAGUAAAGCCUCAGUUGCUGUGAAAUAAUUCUGCAACUGAGUUUAUCGCGUAGGCACAGAAAGAAUCUCGCCGCAAGCUUUGUAUUUGGCGAUCGUAGCAAUGGCUUGAGCCAAACUUUAUCAUUGCUUGUGAUUCAUACUUAGGUGUCCAAGAACACUACGAGGAAUUGGUGUUGAUGGACAACGUUAAGUAGUUAUAGAUGUAGUUAAACUACAUUGCAGUAGUUAAAGAAGUAGUUUUAACUACUCCCCUGAAAAGUAGUUGAACUACUAGUUAAACUACUCAAUCUCGAAGUAGUUAGUAGUUAUAGUUAAACUACUGUAGAAGUAGUUAGUGGCCAUCACUGCUUUUCGGAUCACGUGGAGAAGGAGUGAGAGGGUGCAUUAAGCGGGCCUUCGUUGUCUUGGUGACGUUAAACAUGUUCCACGAAUGCUUUCACGGUAUCUUAAAAGGUACCGGAAACCAGUAGAUGUGCGAUCUCUGAAGAUUCAUCUAUAUAUAUUUUUUUAAAAUUCCGUGUUAUAGCGCCGCGAAGCAACUGUGGCUAUAUGAGCUGCGUACAGACGUGGACAGAUGGAGAGAGGACAGAAGGAAGGAGUGGGGGACAGGGGGGAAAGGCUCAUCAAAGGAUAGCCUGAGCCCUCAGAACUCCUUACUAUACAAAUUUUCGUCCCCGUUGGACUCGUAGUCUUUUUGUUUCUGUUUCUUUUUGUAGAAAAUUAUAAUUGAGAAUUACGGUCAACACUGCAUGCAAGUACUCAUCAAAUAAGCAUUGUUCGUCAACUGAGGCGGGAAUCUACAUUGCAUGCGGACAACACUGGGUCUAAAACGAAAGAAGCUGGCUACGUAGCCAUCAGGAGCAGAGAGUCAGUCGGGGAACAUAGAUCUAUGUUGCUCGAUGAAUUGGUGAUUUACUUGCCCUUGGCGAAAUCGACAUCCCUGCUGCGUCUCUUUAAUCUAUGCAGGAAAGAUUAUAUGAGAGUUUUCCACAGUCGACGAACUACAAACCCGGGUCUGGUAUGGAGCGGUCUUUCUGGGCCCGUGCGGGUAAAUCGCCCUGCCGGUGUGCUUCUUGUUUUCGGAAUAAAGACUAUUCAUAAUGUAUAAAACAAUCCAGGCCCAGGCCCGGUGCCGAACAGGUAUGGGUGGCCCGAACCAGGGCCGGGCUGGCGGGUUUGGCCCAUGUCACUCGCUGGUACACCUUACGGAACUGCCCCCUAAAAGGCUCCAACCCUGUUCUACGCACAUAAAGUUUUAUCGCUUUUAGUACGCUUCACCGAACAGGCUAGUUUUUAACCUUGUUUAACCUUUAUUCGAGCACAAUUCCUGCCCACGAAGAAAACAGAAUUGUUCUGCCCUUUCCACCCUAGUGCACUCGCACUUUCAGCACACUGUGCUGCUUCGGCAGGAAUAGUUUUAGGAGUUUUAGUAUACCGUUGAUAAGGUUAUCGUUUCUAUGGGAACCAAUCGUAGUCGCGCGUGACUCAGAAUCUUAUCCACUGAUUGGAUCCGGUUGAUACGGUUUGACGCAAGCCACGUUAUCAACGGUCUGCUAAAACUCCCUAAUAUCACUCGCGCUACGGUAUUCCCGCAUUUUAUCGAACGGUCGCGCCGAAAAGAAAAGUGUUUUCCAAGUGAGAUAACAUAGUGUGCUUGCACAAGUGGCAGGGAGACGUAUAAAGGACCAGGCUCGCCGCGACAGAUUACAACUGUUUUUGCAGCCACCGUGCGAUCACUGCGAAGGGAUAUAACUAUCUGUUGACAGCAGCAGAGAAACAAGGGGGCAUUGGCAUACUUGAACCUGUUCCGUACAGGUGACAGCCAUGACCAAAGUGCACGUCACCGCCCUUGUGCAACGUCACGUCGCGCGUACCUUCAACUUGGGCCUCCUACUCAUAAUCAUCGGUGUCGUACCCCUCUUCUUGAGCCAGAGCUCCAAGGUGCACACCCCUUAUCUCUUCACCACCGGCGUCGGCCUAGUCACCUCUGGCACCAUACUCUUCACGCUGUCGGCGCUCCUGAUGCUCCUCGUGAAAAUCACGCCCGGAGCCAGCGGAGGACCAGAGGACCUUCCCGCGUGCUACGAGCAGCAAAUAUGGACGAUACCCGUCGACUCGCCUCCGAGCUACGAAGAAGCGUUAAGCAUGUCUCAAAGCCGGCAUGUGUGUGCAGAUCAUAGUCAGGGACGGACCGUUGUGCUCAGUGUACCAGGACAGGUGAGCGUUGACACCGGUGCAUCAGCAGUGCUCCUUGAACAUGGUGGUGCCAGAGACGCUGUUCUUCCUCAACAGCGUUGCUCAGACUGUUGAGAGACGCUUCCGAAGCGUGCGAGUGUGCCUUCGACAGAAGAAGUGUAUAAGUGCAAAGUGCGAGUUCGCUAGACUGAAGGACAAAGCAGUCGGUGAUGUCGCCAAGGCUGAAGUGACGUGGAAUUCGUUUGGAACCGCUACAGUAUUACUAUUCACCUUCAGCAGUCAACUUGGCCAGCGUGUCGUGAAUGAACGUGUAAACUGCGUGUAAGUUCGUGUACAAUGACUGUGUUCUUGUUGCUGCUGCAUUUUGUUCCAAGAACGAUGGGCAAAAUGAACUUCAUCCCAUCAGAACCGUCCAGUGUCACUACCGAUGCGCACUGUUGAAAUAGUGCAUGGUGUACAUGCGCCAGUGAAAGCGACAUUUUGAUCGGAGACAAGCUACGUAGAUGAAAAGGCGGCAAAGCUGCCUAAUCGAUAUCUGCGUUAAAUGACCAUUUACCUCGGGCCGCGGAAACGUGUCCAGGUGUCGUGAACAUCGACGAUGUUGCCUAGAUCUGUAAAUUCACCUAAUGCAAUCUCAUAAAAAGUUUCUCUAUUUA